GAUGAACGCUGGCGGCGUGCCUAAUACAUGCAAGUCGAGCGAACAGACGAGGAGCUUGCUCCUCUGACGUUAGCGGCGGACGGGUGAGUAACACGUGGAUAACCUACCUAUAAGACUGGGAUAACUUCGGGAAACCGGAGCUAAUACCGGAUAAUAUAUUGAACCGCAUGGUUCAAUUGUGAAAGACGGUUUUGCUGUCACUUAUAGAUGGAUCCGCGCCGCAUUAGCUAGUUGGUAAGGUAACGGCUUACCAAGGCAACGAUGCGUAGCCGACCUGAGAGGGUGAUCGGCCACACUGGAACUGAGACACGGUCCAGACUCCUACGGGAGGCAGCAGUAGGGAAUCUUCCGCAAUGGGCGAAAGCCUGACGGAGCAACGCCGCGUGAGUGAUGAAGGUCUUCGGAUCGUAAAACUCUGUUAUUAGGGAAGAACAAAUGUGUAAGUAACUAUGCACGUCUUGACGGUACCUAAUUAGAAAGCCACGGCUAACUACGUG
RNAcentral lists this ribosomal RNA (497 nucleotides) under uncultured bacterium. Its description in RNAcentral is "partial 16S ribosomal RNA". It matches the Rfam family "Bacterial small subunit ribosomal RNA", at positions 28 to 507 of the family's 1533-position model. The record is from RNAcentral.